This 265-nucleotide ribosomal RNA is filed under the name uncultured bacterium. Its description in RNAcentral is "partial 16S ribosomal RNA". It matches the Rfam family "Bacterial small subunit ribosomal RNA", at positions 57 to 305 of the family's 1533-position model. The record is from RNAcentral.
GCAAGUCGAGCGGAAACGAUGGAAAGCUUGCUUUUCAGGCGUCGAGCGGCGGACGGGUGAGUAAUGCUUGGGAAUAUGCCUUAUGGUGGGGGACAACAGUUGGAAACGACUGCUAAUACCGCAUAAUGUGCUUAACGUGGUGUUAAGUACCAAAGGGGGGGAUCUUCGGACCUCCCGCUUAUAGAUUAGCCCAAGUGAGAUUAGCUAGUUGGUAAGGUAAUGGCUUACCAAGGCGACGAUCUCUAGCUGGUUUGAGAGGAUGAUC